CUGACGAGUUUGAUCCUGGCUCAGAUUGAACGCUGGCGGCAUGCUUUACACAUGCAAGUCGAACGGUAACGGGACUUCGGUCUGCCGACGAGUGGCGAACGGUGAGUAAUAUAUCGGAACGUGCCCACGUAAUGGGGGAUAGCCCGGCGAAAGCCGGAUUAAUACCGCAUACGACCUGAGGGUGAAAGCGGGGGAUCGCAAGACCUCGCGCUAUUGGAGCGGCCGAUAUCAGAUUAGCUAGUUGGUGGGGUAAAGGCCUACCAAGGCUACGAUCUGUAGCUGGUCUGAGAGGAUGGCCAGCCACACUGGAACUGAGACACGGUCCAGACUCCUACGGGAGGCAGCAGUGGGGAAUAUUGGACAAUGGGGGCAACCCUGAUCCAGCCAUGCCGCGUGUGUGAAGAAGGCCUUCGGGUUGUAAAGCACUUUAAGCGAGGAGGAAGGUUUUUAGUUUAAUACACUAAAGAAUUGACGUUACUCGCAGAAUAAGCACCGGCUAACUCUGUG
This 507-nucleotide ribosomal RNA is filed under the name uncultured bacterium. Its description in RNAcentral is "bacterial SSU rRNA". It matches the Rfam family "Bacterial small subunit ribosomal RNA", at positions 1 to 507 of the family's 1533-position model. The record is from RNAcentral.